AGAGUUUGAUCCUGGCUCAGGACGAACGCUGGCGGCGUGCCUAAUACAUGCAAGUAGAACGCUGAAGGAGGAGCUUGCUUCUCCGGAUGAGUUGCGAACGGGUGAGUAACGCGUAGGUAACCUGCCUGGUAGCGGGGGAUAACUAUUGGAAACGAUAGCUAAUACCGCAUAAUAGUAGAUGUUGCAUGACAUUUGCUUAAAAGGUGCAAAUGCAUCACUACCAGAUGGACCUGCGUUGUAUUAGCUAGUUGGUGGGGUAACGGCUCACCAAGGCGACGAUACAUAGCCGACCUGAGAGGGUGAUCGGCCACACUGGGACUGAGACACGGCCCAGACUCCUACGGGAGGCAGCAGUAGGGAAUCUUCGGCAAUGGACGGAAGUCUGACCGAGCAACGCCGCGUGAGUGAAGAAGGUUUUCGGAUCGUAAAGCUCUGUUGUAAGAGAAGAACGAGUGUGAGAGUGGAAAGUUCACACUGUGACGGUAUCUUACCAGAAAGGGACGGCUAACUACGUGCCAGCAGCCGCGGUAAUAC
RNAcentral lists this ribosomal RNA (534 nucleotides) under uncultured Streptococcus sp. Its description in RNAcentral is "bacterial SSU rRNA". It matches the Rfam family "Bacterial small subunit ribosomal RNA", at positions 8 to 526 of the family's 1533-position model. The record is from RNAcentral. Lineage: Bacteria; Bacillati; Bacillota; Bacilli; Lactobacillales; Streptococcaceae.